Molecule: ribosomal RNA, 305 nt
Filed under: Hepatozoon sp.
Lineage: Eukaryota; Apicomplexa; Hepatozoidae
Description: SSU rRNA
Rfam family: Eukaryotic small subunit ribosomal RNA
Source: RNAcentral
UGAUUUGUCUGGUUAAUUCCGUUAACGAACGAGACCUUAACCUGCUAAAUAGGGUAAAAAACUUUUGUUUUUAAAUUACUUCUUAGAAGGACUUUGCGUGUCUAACGCAAGGAAGUUUGAGGCAAUAACAGGUCUGUGAUGCCCUUAGAUGUUCUGGGCUGCACGCGCGCUACAAUAAUGCAUCCAACAAGUUUAUAACCUUGGCUGGUAAGCUUAGGUAAUCUUUUGAAUGUGCAUUGUGAUGGGGAUAGAUUAUUGUAAUUAUUAGUCUUUAACGAGGAAUGCCUAGUAAGCGCAAGUCAUCA